This 425-nucleotide ribosomal RNA is filed under the name uncultured bacterium. RNAcentral's name for it is "bacterial SSU rRNA". It matches the Rfam family "Bacterial small subunit ribosomal RNA", at positions 354 to 796 of the family's 1533-position model. The record is from RNAcentral.
GUGGGGAAUAUUGGACAAUGGGCGAAAGCCUGAUCCAGCAAUGCCGCGUGAGUGAUGAAGGCCUUAGGGUUGUAAAGCUCUUUUACCCGGGAUGAUAAUGACAGUACCGGGAGAAUAAGCUCCGGCUAACUCCGUGCCAGCAGCCGCGGUAAUACGGAGGGAGCUAGCGUUGUUCGGAAUUACUGGGCGUAAAGCGCACGUAGGCGGCUUUGUAAGUUAGAGGUGAAAGCCUGGAGCUUAACUCCAGAACUGCCUUUAAGACUGCAUCGCUUGAAUCCAGGAGAGGUGAGUGGAAGUCCGAGUGUAGAGGUGAAAUUCGUAGAUAUUCGGAAGAACACCAGUGGCGAAGGCGGCUCACUGGACUGGUAUUGACGCUGAGGUGCGAAAGCGUGGGGAGCAAACAGGAUUAGAUACCCCGGUAGUCC